RNAcentral lists this ribosomal RNA (274 nucleotides) under uncultured bacterium. RNAcentral's name for it is "partial 16S ribosomal RNA". It matches the Rfam family "Bacterial small subunit ribosomal RNA", at positions 523 to 796 of the family's 1533-position model. The record is from RNAcentral.
AUACGGAGGGUGCAAGCGUUAUUCGGAAUCACUGGGCGUAAAGGACGCGUAGGCGGGUUGGCAAGUCAGAUGUGAAAUCCUACAGCUUAACUGUAGAACUGCAUUUGAAACUGCUAACCUAGAGUAUGGGAGAGGGAGAUGGAAUUAGUGGUGUAGGGGUAAAAUCCGUAGAUAUCACUAGGAAUACCGAAAGCGAAGGCGAUCUCCUGGAACAUAACUGACGCUAAGGCGUGAAAGCGUGGGGAGCAAACAGGAUUAGAUACCCGAGUAGUCC